Molecule: ribosomal RNA, 254 nt
Filed under: uncultured bacterium
Lineage: Bacteria
Description: partial 16S ribosomal RNA
Rfam family: Bacterial small subunit ribosomal RNA
Source: RNAcentral
UACAGAGGUCCCGAGCGUUGUUCGGAUUCACUGGGCGUAAGGGGUGCGUAGGUGGUUGGGUAAGUUUGAUGUGAAAGCUCAGGGCUUAACCCUGAAAUGGCAUUGAAUACUACUUAACUGGAGGUUUGGAGGGGGGACUGGAAUUCUUGGUGUAGCAGUGAAAUGCGUAGAUAUCAAGAGGAACACCAGUGGCGAAGGCGAGUCCCUGGACAACACCUGACACUGAGGCACGAAAGCUAGGGGAGCAAACAGGA